This 68-nucleotide transfer RNA is filed under the name Lachesilla sp. LaspGHN. Its description in RNAcentral is "tRNA-Ser". The record is from RNAcentral. Lineage: Eukaryota; Metazoa; Arthropoda; Insecta; Psocodea; Lachesillidae.
AAUUGAUUAGUCUAAAAAAGACAAUUGUUUUGAAAACAAUAAAUGGUUAAUAAUUUAUCCAUCAAUUU